CCCUUAGAUGUUCUGGGCUGCACGCGCGCUACACUGACGCACGCAACAGGUGCCUGCUCCGAGAGGACUGGGUAAUCAUUUGAGUGUGCGUCGUGAUGGGGAUAGAAUAUUGUAAUUAUUACUCUUCAACGAGGAAUUCCUAGUAAGCGCCAGUCAGCAGCUUGCGCUGAUUACGUCCCUGCCCUUUGUACACACCGUCCGUCGCUCCUACCGAUGGGUGAUCCGGUGAAUGAUUCGGACUUCAGCGGCUCCCCUGGGGUGCGCCGGAGAAAGUUUUGUGAACCUUAUCACUUGGAGGAAGGAGAAGUCGUAACA
Molecule: ribosomal RNA, 315 nt
Filed under: uncultured eukaryote
Lineage: Eukaryota
Description: partial 18S ribosomal RNA
Rfam family: Eukaryotic small subunit ribosomal RNA
Source: RNAcentral